ACUCAAAGGAAUUGACGGGGACCCGCACAAGCGGUGGAGCAUGUGGAUUAAUUCGAAGCAACGCGAAGAACCUUACCAAGGCUUGACAUCCCGCUGAAUAUUAUGGAGACAUGGUAGGCCCUCCGGGGACAGCGGAGACAGGUGGUGCAUGGUUGUCGUCAGCUCGUGUCGUGAGAUGUUGGGUUAAGUCCCGCAACGAGCGCAACCCCUAUCCUUAGUAGCCAUCGGGUAAGGCCGGGCACUUUAAGGAGACUGCCGUGGAUAACACGGGGGAAGGUGGGGACGAUGUCAAAUCAUCAUGCCCCUUAUGUCUUGGGCUUCACACGUGCUACAAUGGCCCCUACAGAGUGAAGCGAAGCCGCGAGGCGGAGCAAACCACAAAAAGGGGUCCCAGUUCGGAUUGCAGCCUGCAACUCGGCUGCAUGAAGUCGGAAUCGCUAGUAAUCGCGAAUCAGCACGUCGCGGUGAAUACGUUCCCGGGUCUUGUACACACCGCCCGU
This 500-nucleotide ribosomal RNA is filed under the name uncultured bacterium. Its description in RNAcentral is "bacterial SSU rRNA". It matches the Rfam family "Bacterial small subunit ribosomal RNA", at positions 899 to 1397 of the family's 1533-position model. The record is from RNAcentral.